GGAUAUGAGGGCGGCCUGACUGCGACAUCUGUCACCCGACGUUGAUUGCCAGGGUUGAUUCGGCUGAUCUGGCUAGCUAGGCCGGUGUCCCUUUUCUCCCUGGUGCCCCAUGUGCGUCCCUCUCGAAGCUGUGGCGCUAGGUGGAAAAGGAUCGUCCCCAGAGGAACCGUCCUGUGGUCAGGGGUGUGGGGAUAGCUGCGCUUCCCCACUAGAGCCUCCAAACAAGCUCUCAAGAUGUUUAUGUGUUGUCCUCCCUGGAAUCCACAGGAAAUGCAGGAAAGAGUCAGAGGCAAAAGUAAAGCUAGAGAGGGUAUGCGGCCAGUGACU
Molecule: small nuclear RNA, 327 nt
Filed under: Jaculus jaculus (lesser Egyptian jerboa)
Lineage: Eukaryota; Metazoa; Chordata; Mammalia; Rodentia; Dipodidae
Description: 7SK RNA (ENSJJAG00000001830.1)
Rfam family: 7SK RNA
About the family: 7SK was discovered as an abundant small nuclear RNA in the mid-70s but a possible function has only recently been suggested. Two independent studies have found that 7SK RNA binds the CDK9/cyclin T complex (known as elongation factor P-TEFb).
Source: Rfam by way of RNAcentral